CUACGUGCCAGCAGCCGCGGUAAUACGGAAGGUUCGGGCGUUAUCCGGAUUUAUUGGGUUUAAAGGGAGCGUAGGCCGGAGAUUAAGUGUGUUGUGAAAUGUAGACGCUCAACGUCUGACUUGCAGCGCAUACUGGUUUCCUUGAGUACGCACAACGUUGGCGGAAUUCGUCGUGUAGCGGUGAAAUGCUUAGAUAUGACGAAGAACUCCGAUUGCGAAGGCAGCUGACGGGAGCGCAACUGACGCUUAAGCUCGAAGGUGCGGGUAUCAAACAGGAUUAGAUACCCUGGUAGUCCGCACAGUAAACGAUGGAUGCCCGCUGUUGGUACCUGGUAUCAGCGGCUAAGCGAAAGCAUUAAGCAUCCCACCUGGGGAGUACGCCGGCAACGGUGAAACUCAAAGGAAUUGACGGGGGCCCGCACAAGCGGAGGAACAUGUGGUUUAAUUCGAUGAUACGCGAGGAACCUUACCCGGGCUUGAA
RNAcentral lists this ribosomal RNA (481 nucleotides) under uncultured bacterium. RNAcentral's name for it is "bacterial SSU rRNA". It matches the Rfam family "Bacterial small subunit ribosomal RNA", at positions 501 to 985 of the family's 1533-position model. The record is from RNAcentral.